UACGGAGGAUGCAAGCGUUAUCCGGAAUUAUUGGGCGUAAAGCGUCCGCAGGUGGCAAUGUAAGUCUGCUGUUAAAGAGUCUAGCUCAACUAGAUAAAAGCAGUGGAAACUACAUAGCUAGAGUACGUUCGGGGCAGAGGGAAUUCCUGGUGUAGCGGUGAAAUGCGUAGAGAUCAGGAAGAACACCAGUGGCGAAGGCGCUCUGCUAGGCCGUAACUGACACUGAGGGACGAAAGCCAGGGGAGCGAACGGG
RNAcentral lists this ribosomal RNA (253 nucleotides) under uncultured bacterium. Its description in RNAcentral is "partial 16S ribosomal RNA". It matches the Rfam family "Bacterial small subunit ribosomal RNA", at positions 524 to 776 of the family's 1533-position model. The record is from RNAcentral.